AUUUCUUCAAAUUUGAUUGAGAUUGAUUCUGUCUUUUAUAUGAAUUGGUUAAAAGAUAAUAUUAAAUACAAGUUUUUGCGAGAUAGUUUUACCUUAAGGGUAAUUAUUUUUAGUUGUAGUUUUUAAUUUUGGGUUUUACAUAAUUGUAGAUUCAGUUAAUUUAUUUAGAUCUGUUUAAAGUUAUGCCAGCAUACGCGGUUAUACAUCUGGAUCAAUUUAAUUUUUUUGGUUAGUAUAUAUUUAAAAUAUUGGUUAUUUAAGUUAUUUUAUAAGGUGAAAUUUUUAAUUUAAUUUAUAUUUUCUAGGUUAAGAUUAUACGAAAUUUAGAAUUUAAACUAGAAUUAGAUACCCUAUUAUUCUAAAUGUAAA
Molecule: ribosomal RNA, 369 nt
Filed under: Syromastus rhombeus
Lineage: Eukaryota; Metazoa; Arthropoda; Insecta; Hemiptera; Coreidae
Description: partial small subunit ribosomal RNA
Source: RNAcentral